Molecule: ribosomal RNA, 501 nt
Filed under: Marinobacter sp. WH042
Lineage: Bacteria; Pseudomonadati; Pseudomonadota; Gammaproteobacteria; Pseudomonadales; Marinobacteraceae
Description: bacterial SSU rRNA
Rfam family: Bacterial small subunit ribosomal RNA
Source: RNAcentral
ACGAGCGGCGGACGGGUGAGUAAUGCAUAGGAAACUGCCCAGUAGUGGGGGAUAGCCCGGGGAAACCCGGAUUAAUACCGCAUACGCCCUUUGGGGGAAAGCAGGGGAUCUUCGGACCUUGCGCUAUUGGAUGUGCCUAUGUCGGAUUAGCUAGUUGGUGGGGUAAGAGCCUACCAAGGCGACGAUCCGUAGCUGGUCUGAGAGGAUGAUCAGCCACAUCGGGACUGAGACACGGCCCGAACUCCUACGGGAGGCAGCAGUGGGGAAUAUUGGACAAUGGGGGCAACCCUGAUCCAGCCAUGCCGCGUGUGUGAAGAAGGCUUUCGGGUUGUAAAGCACUUUCAGUGAGGAGGAAAACCUUACGACUAAUACUCGUGAGGCUUGACGUUACUCACAGAAGAAGCACCGGCUAACUCCGUGCCAGCAGCCGCGGUAAUACGGAGGGUGCAAGCGUUAAUCGGAAUUACUGGGCGUAAAGCGCGCGUAGGUGGUUUGAUAAGC